GCAUCUGUAACUCAGUGGAUCAAGAGUUUGUAUCCAAAACAAGAGGUCAGGGUUCGACCCCGUCUAGUGCC
RNAcentral lists this transfer RNA (71 nucleotides) under Salix viminalis (osier). Lineage: Eukaryota; Viridiplantae; Streptophyta; Magnoliopsida; Malpighiales; Salicaceae. The record is from RNAcentral.